GUACGGCGGCCCUGGACUCGGCUCCGAGAGAGAACCACCUCUUGGCCCUGAGCAGGGGCUGGGUGGAGCCGGCCCUCGGCCCUCGCAGAGGGUGUUGGUGCCUACCUUUUUACCUUGUUUAGAAUUCGGCUGUCAGGCUGUUCCAAGACUUUGCACAGGCUCUCUCCAGAAUAUUGUUCUCCUAUCUGUCAAGCAGUCUCCAGUUCAAGAUCCUUUUGUGACGUCUUUGACUUUUGCAGUUCAAGUUGGUCACCACCUUCCUUCUUCAGGUCACUAUUGAAGCUUGUGCUUAUC
RNAcentral lists this long non-coding RNA (294 nucleotides) under Ursus maritimus (polar bear). RNAcentral describes it as "lncRNA (ENSUMAG00000018640.1)". Lineage: Eukaryota; Metazoa; Chordata; Mammalia; Carnivora; Ursidae. The record is from RNAcentral.